UGAGGCCUUAAAGUACUCUAGCAGCACAUCAUGGUUUGCAUGCUGUAGUGAAGAUGCGAAUCAUUAUUUGCUGCUUUAGAAAUUUAAGGAA
MicroRNA precursor from Chrysolophus pictus (golden pheasant), 91 nucleotides. The record is from Ensembl. Lineage: Eukaryota; Metazoa; Chordata; Aves; Galliformes; Phasianidae.